This is a long non-coding RNA of Suricata suricatta (meerkat), 454 nucleotides long. RefSeq lists it as uncharacterized. The transcript is spliced from 3 exons. The record is from RefSeq and is a predicted model, not a curated record. NCBI's taxonomy places the organism in Eukaryota, Metazoa, Chordata, Mammalia, Carnivora, Herpestidae.
GAGAAGUUUACCUUUCAGGAUAAACUUGAUGCCAGCAUCUGCAAGAAUCCUCUCCAGAUUCUCCAGGGAAAGAGGAUACAUGAAUAAUGAAACCGGAAUGUAAUAUAAGACUGAUAUUUACUAGCCUUCACUGGAUCUUGGAGCAUGAAGAUGGCACAGCUGGCUCCAGCCAAGAAAAGAUCGCUUUCCAGGCAUGAUGAGAAGGAAGCAAACUGUUUGUAGGUACCUCCAGCUGCUUCCUUCACCAGCUGAUGAAAGUAAUUAGAGUGGAUAAAGGCAGGCAAAAAAUGGAUUUCUCUUCCUUGCCAGGGAUAAGAGUCCUUUAAGAUGGGUAAAUUUAACCAUUUUACAGAUGAAGAAAACAGGCUCUCAACAGUAUUAACUUUUCUUUGCUAUGGACCCUCUGGAAUGUGAUAGGGAAGAUACACAGUAGAUUGGUACAGCUCAGCAUCAA